CCUACGGGGGGCAGCAGUGGGGAAUCUUGCGCAAUGCGCGAAAGCGUGACGCAGCAACGCCGCGUGAGGGAAGACGGCCUUCGGGUUGUAAACCUCUUUCAGGAGGGACGAAGCCUGGCUGGUGAAUAGCCAGUCCAGGUGACGGUACCUCCACAAGAAGCCCCGGCUAACUACGUGCCAGCAGCCGCGGUAAUACGUAGGGGGCAAGCGUUGUCCGGAAUUAUUGGGCGUAAAGAGCGCGUAGGCGGUCCAGUAAGUCGGUUGUGAAAGUCGGGGGCUCAACCCUCGGAUGCCGAUCGAUACUGCUGGGCUAGAGUCCGGAAGAGGCGAGUGGAAUUCCUGGUGUAGCGGUGAAAUGCGCAGAUAUCAGGAGGAACACCAAUGGCGAAGGCAGCUCGCUGGGACGGUACUGACGCUGAGGCGCGAAAGCGUGGGGAG
This 438-nucleotide ribosomal RNA is filed under the name uncultured Solirubrobacter sp. Its description in RNAcentral is "bacterial SSU rRNA". It matches the Rfam family "Bacterial small subunit ribosomal RNA", at positions 338 to 768 of the family's 1533-position model. Lineage: Bacteria; Bacillati; Actinomycetota; Thermoleophilia; Solirubrobacterales; Solirubrobacteraceae. The record is from RNAcentral.